AGCUGUUUAGGAAGAUGGUGAUUUUAGCUCUAUGGGGAUUGACUGACUCUCAUGCAUGUAUCCCCUAACUCUGAGAUUUAAUUUGAUCGAUUUGGUCUUUGUUUUUGCUAUUCAAUCUAUUUUGCUGUUGAUUUUUAUGAAUUGAUUUUUUCAAAAUAAUAAAUUUUUUCAUUCCAGUCUUCCCACUGGGCACACACUGGUUGAAUCAACAUUGUGUCCACAUCAUUUCAAUGAAAUUACAUUGAACCAACAUGGAAAGAAGUUGAAUUCACGUCUGUGCCUAGUAGGUUUAUCUUUGAGAUGUCAUUUAUGCUUUAUGUUUAGAUUAAACAAUAUGGAUAUGGGCACAUAAAGUGAACAAGAAGCAGGAGCAGCAACACCACCAGUCAUCAUCUUCAUCAUCAUCACUACCAUAAUUUGUAUCAUUAACAUCCCAUCUUUCAUCAUCAUCACCAUACCUCAAACAUUUCUGCCACAGAUAGAGCUCAUCGCUUAUGAUAAACAAUAAUGUUUUCUCUCUCAAUUAGAUAAGAAUAGCUUCUACCAUGUUUUGUCAUCUUCAGUCGCAUGAGGGAUAUCACGUGGUUUAUUCUACCAUCUCACUAGCUGCGAGCCUGGCUAUUGAUUCCGGUUUAACGGAAUGAUUAUUGGUUAUUUCCAACAACAUUCCGUGGAAGAAAACUAGCGGUGUGGGAUAGGCGUCUGGUGAUGGAGCAGCGGCUGGUGGCUACGUGCUGGUUGUGUCUCCUGCUCUUUGCCUUGCUGUGUGAGCCUGUCCUGUCCAAGGGCGGCCGCGGGGGGGGCAGGGGUUCAUCUCGGGGCUCGUCUCGUAGCAGUGGCCGUUUCCGAAUCAGAACCCAUUCAACAAAGGCCUGGUUCAAGACCAUGCCUGGGCGCUCAUCCCCAGUGCGUGUUGCUAGCGCGGCGGCUGCUGGUGCAGCAGUUGCAUUAACAGCUGAUAGGUUGUACCGCUCAGCCUACCGGUGCAGUCAUGUCAACUCGGAUUAUGAUGGGGAGGAUUACAACAGGACCGUUUGCUACAUGACCAGAGUGUCAGGAUCCAAUCUGAACCAACCGUCACUCUCAUACAUCUCUGUCAUCAUCGUCGCUUCUGUAUUCCCCAGAUAUGUUCACGUAUUAGAGAAUAUACUUUAGAUGCGUAUAUUUGUUAGAUAAUAACAUUUAUGACUUAUAAAGGCAAAAUAAUCAGCAUACAUGUAUAGGAGCCUUGUGGCUCAUUCUACAGGUCUGUUAUCAUGCCUUGGGAAGGCAAAGCUUGUUUAGCCUCUAGGUCAGAAGUCAGGAUGGCCAGAAAAUGGUGGAAACUAAAAUGUAUAAGUUUAAAGGAGUGUUGACAAGUCAGCAUCACAUUAUUUGUUUGGAAAAAAUCUUUCACUUAAAGUAGCUGUCCAGUGUUCAAGAUUUGUAUGAAAUAUUACUGAAUAAUGAAUUACAAUAUGAGUGAAAUUAGUAAUAAAGUAUGUUAAAAAGCA
This is an RNA transcript of Oncorhynchus kisutch (coho salmon), 1493 nucleotides long. It is a transcript of the gene named shadow of prion protein, with no coding region annotated. The record is from RefSeq and is a predicted model, not a curated record. The transcript has 2 exons. Lineage: Eukaryota; Metazoa; Chordata; Actinopteri; Salmoniformes; Salmonidae.